RNAcentral lists this ribosomal RNA (484 nucleotides) under uncultured bacterium. Its description in RNAcentral is "partial 16S ribosomal RNA". It matches the Rfam family "Bacterial small subunit ribosomal RNA", at positions 30 to 507 of the family's 1533-position model. The record is from RNAcentral.
AUUGAACGCUGGCGGAAUGCUUUACACAUGCAAGUCGAGCGGCAGCACGGGGGCAACCCUGGUGGCGAGCGGCGAACGGGUGAGUAAUACAUCGGAACAUGCCCAGUCGUGGGGGAUAACACUUCGAAAGAAGUGCUAAUACCGCAUACGUCCUGAGGGAGAAAGCGGGGGAUCGCAAGACCUCGCGCGAUUGGAGUGGCCGAUGUCAGAUUAGCUAGUUGGUGGGGUAAAGGCCUACCAAGGCAACGAUCUGUAGCUGGUCUGAGAGGAUGAUCAGCCACACUGGGACUGAGACACGGCCCAGACUCCUACGGGAGGCAGCAGUGGGGAAUUUUGGACAAUGGGGGCAACCCUGAUCCAGCCAUUCCGCGUGAGUGAAGAAGGCCUUCGGGUUGUAAAGCUCUUUCGGCAGGAACGAAACGGUGAGCUCUAACAUAGCUUGCUAAUGACGGUACCCGAAGAAGAAGCACCGGCUAACUACGUG